GACGAACGCUGGCGGCGUGCUUAACACAUGCAAGUCGAACGGAAAGGCCUCUUUCGGGGGGUACUCGAGUGGCGAACGGGUGAGUAACACGUGAGUAACCUGCCCUUGACUUUGGGAUAACUUCAGGCAACUGGGGCUAAUACCGGAUAGGAGCUCCUGCUGCAUGGUGGGGGUUGGAAAGUUUCGGCGGUUGGGGAUGGACUCGCGGCUUAUCGGCUUGUUGGUGGGGUAGUGGAUUACCAAGGCUUUGCCGGGUAGCCGGCCUGAGAGGGUGACCGGCCACAUUGGGACUGAGGUGCGGCCCAGACUCCGACGGGAGGCAGCAGGGGGGAAGAUUGCACAAUGGGUGGAAGCCGGAUGCAGCAACGCCGUGGGCGGGAUGACGGCCUUCGGGUUGUAAACCGCUUUCGCUCAUGACGAAGCUUUGUGUGACGGUAGUGGGUAAAGAAGCACCGGCUAACUACGUG
This 467-nucleotide ribosomal RNA is filed under the name uncultured bacterium. RNAcentral describes it as "partial 16S ribosomal RNA". It matches the Rfam family "Bacterial small subunit ribosomal RNA", at positions 28 to 507 of the family's 1533-position model. The record is from RNAcentral.